GGGUAAGAAGUGUUUACACGUUUAGGCUUCGAACCAAAAAAAGAAUUUAUUUUUCCUUACCCU
Molecule: transfer RNA, 63 nt
Filed under: Bragasellus molinai
Lineage: Eukaryota; Metazoa; Arthropoda; Malacostraca; Isopoda; Asellidae
Description: transfert RNA-R(CGA)
Source: RNAcentral